This 550-nucleotide ribosomal RNA is filed under the name uncultured bacterium. Its description in RNAcentral is "bacterial SSU rRNA". It matches the Rfam family "Bacterial small subunit ribosomal RNA", at positions 355 to 896 of the family's 1533-position model. The record is from RNAcentral.
UAGGGAAUCUUCCACAAUGGGCGCAAGCCUGAUGGAGCAACACCGCGUGAGUGAAGAAGGGUUUCGGCUCGUAAAGCUCUGUUGUUAAAGAAGAACACGUAUGAGAUUAACUGUUCAUACGUUGACGGUAUUUAACCAGAAAGUCACGGCUAACUACGUGCCAGCAGCCGCGGUAAUACGUAGGUGGCAAGCGUUAUCCGGAUUUAUUGGGCGUAAAGAGAGUGCAGGCGGUUUUCUAAGUCUGAUGUGAAAGCCUUCGGCUUAACCGGACAAGUGCAUCGGAAACUGGAUAACUUGAGUGCAGAAGAGGGUAGUGGAACUCCAUGUGUAGCGGUGGAAUGCGUAGAUAUAUGGAAGAACACCAGUGGCGAAGGCGGCUACCUGGUCUGCAACUGACGCUGAGACUCGAAAGCAUGGGUAGCGAACAGGAUUAGAUACCCUGGUAGUCCAUGCCGUAUACGAUGAGUGCUAGGUGUUGGAGGGUUUCCGCCCUUCACUGCCGGAGCUAACGCAUUAAGCACUCCGCCUGGGGAGUACGACCGCAAGGUUG